GUGCUCGCUUCGGCAGCACAUGUACUAAAAUUGGAAUGAUACAGAGAAGAUUAGCAUGGCCUCUGUGCAAGGAUGACAUGCAAAUUCGUGAAGCAUUCCAUAUUUUU
RNAcentral lists this small nuclear RNA (107 nucleotides) under Sciurus vulgaris (Eurasian red squirrel). Lineage: Eukaryota; Metazoa; Chordata; Mammalia; Rodentia; Sciuridae. The record is from RNAcentral.